RNAcentral lists this unclassified non-coding RNA (21 nucleotides) under Chlamydomonas reinhardtii. RNAcentral's name for it is "small RNA Cre_2948". Lineage: Eukaryota; Viridiplantae; Chlorophyta; Chlorophyceae; Chlamydomonadales; Chlamydomonadaceae. The record is from RNAcentral.
UGAGUGCAGCAGUCCAGCCAC